UAUAAAGGCCAGGUCUCCAAAUACAGUCACACGGGGAGCUAGGGCUUCAACCUAUGGCUUUUGGGGGAUACAGUUCAGUCCAUAGCAGUGGGGAAAGGAUGUGACUCAGUCUAGAGAGACUCAAGGAGGGAAUGCUUAGAUAGGAGCAUGGAGGGCGUGCCUGGUGAAGGGAACAGUAUGGCACAGCUUCAGAGGCAAGGGUGAGCCAGCAGCAAGGGGCUGGCUAUGGCCGGUACAAAAAGCAUGUGCUCGUGGGAAAUAGGCACCAAAGAAGGCCCAGAGAGGUUUAACAACUUCCUCAGAAUCACACAGCUUCCAAAUGGUUGGGUUGGGUUUACAUUUAGGCGGUCUUGCUCCAGAGCCAGUGCUCCUAACCUUUGCAAGCCACGAACCUCAAGAAAGUGGAGAAGGAAACGCUGGGAAAUCUGGAAGUCAGACAUGGCAAGUUUUUCUCACUGUAAGAAGAGGACAAUAGCCUAUGAUCUACAGUGCCCAUUCCAACUCAGAGAAUCUUUACAUCUGGAGAUCUAUAGCAGGGCUAUCCCUAGUGACAUGCGUGAAGAAGCUUGGAAAUGGUGCUGGGUAGGAGCUGAGUGUGCAGAAUGUGGAAAGGCAUUCUAAACCAAAGGAAGAACACGAGUAAAGAUGAUGAAGCAGGGAUAAGGCUAAAAUGAAAUUUGUGAUCUGAUCCACAUACAAGCACAGUGUAGUACAGCUGGAAUAUAGAGAAGAGCUUGAAGACUUAUGAGCAACUAUCCCGGUACUCUUGGAGGCUCUGCAACCACAGUUUGAGAAACUCCGCGUUCAAAGUUAAAAACUGUCACCUGAAUAGUUAAUAACAUCAAAGAUUGUGAAAGCAAGUAUAAAUAACACAGAGAUUAAAAUAAUGAGGCAGGAUCAGAAAAAAACAAGAAGGAAGAUCUCCCAUAGAUUUUCAAGGUGCUGAGAAAACAGCUUCUAGACAUAUCUCGAAAGCCAAGUUUCUGAGAUGUAAUCAGAAAGCUGUAGUGGAAGGAAAUUUGAACCAGAAGACUGCAGUCCUGUCUAUGAACGUUAAACCUGUGUGGCUUAGGAAACGAGUCUAACCUCGUCUGAGCCUCAGUUUGUUCACCUAAAAGAUGGAGAUGAGAGCUCAUUUGUCUCAUUCUCAGGGGUUAUGGUGGCCAUCCAGACAUAAAGAAAUUAGAACGUUCAUUCAUCUGCAGAUGCUCACACAUUCCUACAGGAUGACUGAAACCCACAGCAAACAAUCCUCAUGAAAUACAGCUCAGCUCAUCCUGAAGAAUAAGUGGGAGGUCAGCCUCACGGGAAAUUCGAUAUCUCCACAUGCAGCUGUCAUGCCACAUGGAAACAGUCAUGCAUAGGGUCCUGUCACCUGGUAGACUGACCCCAGGUCCACUGACCCCUGACAAUCAUCAACCGCUUCUGAGGGCUCCAUGAUUGAGAUUUGUCCCCAGGAACUCAGGGGAAACUAUAUAUUGAUUAAAAUGAACUAUCAAAAUCA
This 1504-nucleotide long non-coding RNA is filed under the name Homo sapiens (human). Its description in RNAcentral is "long intergenic non-protein coding RNA 2028". Lineage: Eukaryota; Metazoa; Chordata; Mammalia; Primates; Hominidae. The record is from RNAcentral.